RNAcentral lists this ribosomal RNA (439 nucleotides) under Escherichia coli. RNAcentral describes it as "partial 23S ribosomal RNA". It matches the Rfam family "Bacterial large subunit ribosomal RNA", at positions 2251 to 2689 of the family's 2925-position model. Lineage: Bacteria; Pseudomonadati; Pseudomonadota; Gammaproteobacteria; Enterobacterales; Enterobacteriaceae. The record is from RNAcentral.
ACAGUGUCUGGUGGGUAGUUUGACUGGGGCGGUCUCCUCCUAAAGAGUAACGGAGGAGCACGAAGGUUGGCUAAUCCUGGUCGGACAUCAGGAGGUUAGUGCAAUGGCAUAAGCCAGCUUGACUGCGAGCGUGACGGCGCGAGCAGGUGCGAAAGCAGGUCAUAGUGAUCCGGUGGUUCUGAAUGGAAGGGCCAUCGCUCAACGGAUAAAAGGUACUCCGGGGAUAACAGGCUGAUACCGCCCAAGAGUUCAUAUCGACGGCGGUGUUUGGCACCUCGAUGUCGGCUCAUCACAUCCUGGGGCUGAAGUAGGUCCCAAGGGUAUGGCUGUUCGCCAUUUAAAGUGGUACGCGAGCUGGGUUUAGAACGUCGUGAGACAGUUCGGUCCCUAUCUGCCGUGGGCGCUGGAGAACUGAGGGGGGCUGCUCCUAGUACGAGAG